This is a long non-coding RNA of Bactrocera neohumeralis, 266 nucleotides long. RefSeq lists it as uncharacterized. NCBI's taxonomy places the organism in Eukaryota, Metazoa, Arthropoda, Insecta, Diptera, Tephritidae. The record is from RefSeq and is a predicted model, not a curated record. The transcript has 3 exons.
UAUUAAUUUUGACACGAAGCUGCUGUUGAAAUAACAUCUCAGCUGAAAAAUAUCAUAUAUAGAGUUGGAGGAAAGGAUUUCCCUUCAUUCCUAAGAAUGGCAUUGAAAUCCAUUAUAUCGGAUGCUAUGGCCGUUAAUUUAACUUGGCGUGGAAUAAAUGACAAACCCAGUAUCCAACGCUUUACAGCAUUUGCACUAAUAAAAAAUGCCUGUCAUUCCAAAUAUUCGAACUCGACCGAUAUGGAUAUAGAUAAAGUGUAUCAACA